This 492-nucleotide ribosomal RNA is filed under the name uncultured bacterium. Its description in RNAcentral is "partial 16S ribosomal RNA". It matches the Rfam family "Bacterial small subunit ribosomal RNA", at positions 29 to 507 of the family's 1533-position model. The record is from RNAcentral.
AGUGAACGCUGGCGGUAGGCCUAACACAUGCAAGUCGAACGGCAGCACAGUAAGAGCUUGCUCUUACGGGUGGCGAGUGGCGGACGGGUGAGGAAUACAUCGGAAUCUACUUUUUCGUGGGGGAUAACGUAGGGAAACUUACGCUAAUACCGCAUACGACCUACGGGUGAAAGCAGGGGAUCUUCUGACCUUGCGCGAUUGAAUUAGCCGAUGUCGGAUUAGCUAGUUGGCGGGGUAAAGGCCCACCAAGGCGACGAUCCGUAGCUGGUCUGAGAGGAUGAUCAGCCACACUGGAACUGAGACACGGUCCAGACUCCUACGGGAGGCAGCAGUGGGGAAUAUUGGACAAUGGGCGCAAGCCUGAUCCAGCCAUACCGCGUGGGUGAAGAAGGCCUUCGGGUUGUAAAGCCCUUUUGUUGGGAAAGAAAAGCAGCAGGUUAAUACCCCGCUGUUCUGACGGUACCCAAAGAAUAAGCACCGGCUAACUUCGUG